Molecule: ribosomal RNA, 322 nt
Filed under: Mesofilidae sp.
Lineage: Eukaryota; Cercozoa; Mesofilidae
Description: SSU rRNA
Rfam family: Eukaryotic small subunit ribosomal RNA (bases 107-322)
Source: RNAcentral
GAUUUCUGGCCUGGUGCGCCCUGUCCGCCGCCGUCAGGCGUGUGAGUACGGGGUUGUGCCUGCCAUCCUUCCGGGGCGCCCGUCUGCCCUUCACUGGGUUGGGCGGGUCACCUGGAUCGUUUACUUUGAAAAAAUUAGAGUGUUUAAAGCAGGCGUUUGCUGUGAAUACAUUAGCAUGGAAUAAUAAAAUAGGACUUUGGUUCUAUUUUGUUGGUUUCUAGGACUGAAGUAAUGAUUGAUAGGGACAGUUGGGGGUGCUAGUAUUCGGCGGCCAGAGGUGAAAUUCUCGGAUUCGCUGAAGACUAACUUAUGCGAAAGCAUU